UGGAUCUUAAAAAUCUUUCCACCCC
RNAcentral lists this non-coding RNA (25 nucleotides) under Mus musculus (house mouse). The record is from RNAcentral. Lineage: Eukaryota; Metazoa; Chordata; Mammalia; Rodentia; Muridae.